This 594-nucleotide ribosomal RNA is filed under the name uncultured bacterium. RNAcentral describes it as "bacterial SSU rRNA". It matches the Rfam family "Bacterial small subunit ribosomal RNA", at positions 338 to 916 of the family's 1533-position model. The record is from RNAcentral.
CCUACGGGAGGCAGCAGUGGGGAAUAUUGGACAAUGGGGGGCAACCCUGAUCCAGCAAUGCCGCGUGUGUGAAGAAGGCCUGAGGGUUGUAAAGCACUUUCAGUGGGGAGGAGGAUUGAUAGGUUAAGAGCUAAUUAAUUGGACGUUACCUACAGAAGAAGCACCGGCUAACUCCGUGCCAGCAGCCGCGGUAAUACGGAGGGUGCGAGCGUUAAUCGGAAUUACUGGGCGUAAAGGGUGCGUAGGUUGUCGAGCAGGUGGUCUGUGAAAUCCCUGGGCUUAACCUGGGCAGGUCAGAUCAAACUGUUGGACUCGAGUAUAGGAGAGGGUAGUGGAAUUUCCGGUGUAGCGGUGAAAUGCGUAGAGAUCGGAAGGAACACCAGUGGCGAAGGCGGCUGCCUGGCCUAAUACUGACACUGAGGCACGAAAGCGUGGGGAGCAAACAGGAUUAGAUACCCUGGUAGUCCACGCCGUAAACGAUGUACAACUAGCUGUUUAGUCACAUAGAAGUGGUGAGUAGCGAAGCUAACGCGAUAAGUUGACCGCCGUGGGGAGUACGAUCGCAAGAUUAAAACCGUCAAAUGAAGUUGACGG